Molecule: ribosomal RNA, 468 nt
Filed under: uncultured bacterium
Lineage: Bacteria
Description: partial 16S ribosomal RNA
Rfam family: Bacterial small subunit ribosomal RNA
Source: RNAcentral
GACGAACGCUGGCGGCGUGCUUAACACAUGCGAGUCGAACGGAAAGGCCCUGCUUUUGUGGGGGGCUAGCGUGGCGAAAGGGUGAGUAACACGUGAGUAAACUGCCCUUGACUUUGGGAUAACUUCAGGAAACUGGGGCUAAUAACGGAUAGGAGCUCCUGCUGCAUGGUGGGGGUUGGAAAGUUUAGGCGGUUGGUGAUGGACUGGCGGGUUAUCAGCUUGUUGGUGGGGUAGUGGCUUACCAAGGCUUUGACGGGUAGCCGGCCUGAGAGGGUGACCGGCCACAUUGGGACUGAGAGACGGCCCAGACUCCUACGGGAGGCAGCAGUGGGGAAUAUUGCACAAUGGGCGGAAGCCUGAUGCAGCAACUCCGCGUGCGGGAUGACGGCCUUCGGGUUGUAAACCGCUUUCGCCUGUGACGAAGCGUGAGUGACGGUAAUGGGUAAAGAAGCACCGGCUAACUACGUG